RNAcentral lists this long non-coding RNA (332 nucleotides) under Mytilus galloprovincialis (Mediterranean mussel). The record is from RNAcentral. Lineage: Eukaryota; Metazoa; Mollusca; Bivalvia; Mytilida; Mytilidae.
CUUUGGUUUUUGAGUUAUAAGCCAAAAACUGCAUUUUACCCCUAUGUUCUAUUUUUAGGCGUGGCGGCCAUCUUGGUUAGUUGGCCGGGUCACCGGACACAUUUUUUAAACUAGAUACCCCAAUGAUGAUUGUGGCCAAGUCUGGAUUAAUUUGGCCCAGUAGUUUCAGAGGAGAAGAUUUUUGUAAAAGAUUACUAAGAUUUACGAAAAAUGGUUAAAAAUUGACUAUAAAGGGAAAUAACUCCUAAAUUGGUCAACUGACCAUUUUGGUCAUGUUGACUUGUUUGUAAAUCUUACUUUGCUGAACAUUAUUGCUGUUUACAGUUUAUCUC